Molecule: ribosomal RNA, 1692 nt
Filed under: Anarhichas orientalis (Bering wolffish)
Lineage: Eukaryota; Metazoa; Chordata; Actinopteri; Perciformes; Anarhichadidae
Description: 16S rRNA
Rfam family: Bacterial large subunit ribosomal RNA
Source: RNAcentral
AGCUUUAUAGCUAGCCCGCACAAACAACUUCAACAAACCCCUGUUAAUAACCCCUAAAUACACUAGUAUCUCAUUAAACAAACCAUUUUUCCCCCUUAGUAUAGGUGAUAGAAACGGGACCCCAGGCGCAAUAGAGAAAGUACCGCAAGGGAAUGCUGAAAGAGAAGUGAAAAAACUCAGUGAAGCCUAAAGAAGCAGAGAUUAAAACUCGUACCUUUUGCAUCAUGAUUUAGCAAGUGUAAUCCAAGCAAAGAGUGCUUUAGUUUGAUAUCCCGAAACUAGGUGAGCUACUCCAAGACAGCCUAUUAAUAGGGCACACCCGUCUCUGUGGCAAAAGAGUGGGGGGAGCUUUGAGUAGAGGUGAUAGACCUACCGAACCUAGUUAUAGCUGGUUGUCCAAGAAAUGAAUAGAAGUUCAGCCUCCCGGCUUCUCUUUUCACCUUAGUUUAACCCCUAUCGAUGUACUUAAGAAACCAGGAGAGUUAGUCAAAGGGGGUACAGCCCCUUUGAACCAAGACACAACUUUAUCAGGAGGGUAAAGAUCAUAAUACCUAAAGGAAGAUAUUUGGGUGGGCCUAAAAGCAGCCAUCCCCUUAGAAAGCGUUAAAGCUCAAAUAUAAUACUAAACCCUUCUUAUUCUGAUCACCAAAUCUUAUCCCCCUAAACAUAAUGGACCACCCCAUGCAUGCAUGGGGGUGACUAUGCUAAUAUGAGUAAUAAGAGAGCCUCCGGCUCUCUCCCUGCACACAUGUACAUCGGAACGGACAUCCCGCCGACCAUUAACGGCCCCAAACAAAGAGGGCACUGAAUAAUAGAUUAAACAACAAGAAAAGCGUUCAGGAAAUAACCGUUAACCCCACACAGGUGUGCCCACAGGGAAAGGCUAAAAGAAAGAGAAGGAACUCGGCAAACAUUAAAGCCUCGCCUGUUUACCAAAAACAUCGCCUCUUGCAAACUUAAUAAAUAAGAGGUCCCGCCUGCCCUGUGACUAUUAGUUUAACGGCCGCGGUAUUUUGACCGUGCGAAGGUAGCGCAAUCACUUGUCUUUUAAAUGAAGACCUGUAUGAAUGGCAUAACGAGGGCUUAACUGUCUCCUCUUUCCAGUCAAUGAAGUUGAUCUUCCCGUGCAGAAGCGGGAAUACAAACAUAAGACGAGAAGACCCUAUGGAGCUUUAGACACCAAGGUAGAUCAUGUUAAUAACCCUGAACAAAGGACUAAACCAGAUGGAACCUACCCUAAUGUCUUUGGUUGGGGCGACCGCGGGGAAUUAAAAAACCCCCACGUGGAAUGGGAGCACCCCUCCUACAACUAAGAGCCACAGCUCUAGUAAACAGAAAUUCUGACCAACAAGAUCCGGCAAUGCCGAUCAACGGACCGAGUUACCCUAGGGAUAACAGCGCAAUCCUCUUUUAGAGCCCAUAUCGACAAGGGGGUUUACGACCUCGAUGUUGGAUCAGGACAUCCUAAUGGUGCAGCCGCUAUUAAGGGUUCGUUUGUUCAACGAUUAAAGUCCUACGUGAUCUGAGUUCAGACCGGAGUAAUCCAGGUCAGUUUCUAUCUAUGCUAUGCUCUUUUCUAGUACGAAAGGACCGAAAAGAAGAGGCCCAUGCUCAAGGCACGCCUCCCCCCUACCUACUGAAGUCAACUAAAGUAGGCAAAGGGGCAUGCCCCCCUGCCUAAGAAAAAGGCAU